UCGAACGAUGAACCACUUCGGUGGGGAUUAGUGGCGAACGGGUGAGUAACACGUGGGCAAUCUGCCCUGCACUCUGGGACAAGCCCUGGAAACGGGGUCUAAUACCGGAUACUGAUCAUCUUGGGCAUCCAAGGUGUUCGAAAGCUCCGGCGGUGCAGGAUGAGCCCGCGGCCUAUCAGCUUGUUGGUGAGGUAAUGGCUCACCAAGGCGACGACGGGUAGCCGGCCUGAGAGGGCGACCGGCCACACUGGGACUGAGACACGGCCCAGACUCCUACGGGAGGCAGCAGUGGGGAAUAUUGCACAAUGGGCGAAAGCCUGAUGCAGCGACGCCGCGUGAGGGAUGACGGCCUUCGGGUUGUAAACCUCUUUCAGCAGGGAAGAAGCGAAAGUGACGGUACCUGCAGAAGAAGCGCCGGCUAACUACGUGCCAGCAGCCGCGGUAAUACGUAGGGCGCGAGCGUUGUCCGGAAUUAUUGGGCGUAAAGAGCUCGUAGGCGGCUUGUCGCGUCGGUUGUGAAAGCCCGGGGCUUAACCCCGGGUCUGCAGUCGAUACGGGCAGGCUAGAGUUCGGUAGGGGAGAUCGGAAUUCCUGGUGUAGCGGUGAAAUGCGCAGAUAUCAGGAGGAACACCGGUGGCGAAGGCGGAUCUCUGGGCCGAUACUGACGCUGAGGAGCGAAAGCGUGGGGAGCGAACAGGAUU
Molecule: ribosomal RNA, 701 nt
Filed under: Streptomyces sp.
Lineage: Bacteria; Bacillati; Actinomycetota; Actinomycetes; Kitasatosporales; Streptomycetaceae
Description: bacterial SSU rRNA
Rfam family: Bacterial small subunit ribosomal RNA
Source: RNAcentral